UACAGAGGGGGCAAGCGUUGUUCGGAAUUACUGGGCGUAAAGGGUGCGCAGGCGGCCCCGCAAGUCAGGCGUGAAAUCCCCGGGCUUAACCUGGGAAUGGCGCUUGAAACUACGGGGCUGGAGUAUGGCAGAGGGAGGUGGAAUUCCACGUGUAGCGGUGAAAUGCGUAGAGAUGUGGAGGAACACCGAUGGCGAAGGCGGCUUCCUGGACCGACACUGACGCUGAGGCGCGAAAGCUAGGGGAGCAAACGGG
This 253-nucleotide ribosomal RNA is filed under the name uncultured bacterium. Its description in RNAcentral is "partial 16S ribosomal RNA". It matches the Rfam family "Bacterial small subunit ribosomal RNA", at positions 524 to 776 of the family's 1533-position model. The record is from RNAcentral.